This 253-nucleotide ribosomal RNA is filed under the name uncultured bacterium. RNAcentral describes it as "partial 16S ribosomal RNA". It matches the Rfam family "Bacterial small subunit ribosomal RNA", at positions 524 to 776 of the family's 1533-position model. The record is from RNAcentral.
UACGUAGGGUGCAAGCGUUAAUCGGAAUUACUGGGCGUAAAGCGUGCGCAGGCGGUUAUGUAAGACAGUUGUGAAAUCCCUGGGCUCAACCUGGGAAUUGCAUCUGUGACUGCAUAGCUAGAGUACGGUAGAGGGGGAUGGAAUUCCGCGUGUAGCAGUGAAAUGCGUAGAUAUGCGGAGGAACACCGAUGGCGAAGGCAAUCCCCUGGACCUGUACUGACGCUCAUGCACGAAAGCGUGGGGAGCAAACAGG